UCCGCCUUGGUGUAAUUGGCAGCACACGGGUUCUUGGUGCCCUGAGUCCAGGUUCGAGUCCUGGGGGCGGAG
This 72-nucleotide transfer RNA is filed under the name Bifidobacteriaceae bacterium. RNAcentral describes it as "tRNA-OTHER". It matches the Rfam family "tRNA". Rfam says of the family: Transfer RNA (tRNA) molecules are approximately 80 nucleotides in length. Their secondary structure includes four short double-helical elements and three loops (D, anti-codon, and T loops). The record is from RNAcentral. Lineage: Bacteria; Bacillati; Actinomycetota; Actinomycetes; Bifidobacteriales; Bifidobacteriaceae.